This 765-nucleotide ribosomal RNA is filed under the name uncultured bacterium. RNAcentral describes it as "bacterial SSU rRNA". It matches the Rfam family "Bacterial small subunit ribosomal RNA", at positions 28 to 806 of the family's 1533-position model. The record is from RNAcentral.
GACGAACGCUGGCGGCGCGCCUAACACAUGCAAGUCGAACGAGAGAGAGGAAGCUUGCUUCCUCAAUCGAGUGGCGAACGGGUGAGUAACGCGUGAGGAACCUGCCUCAAAGAGGGGGACAACAGUUGGAAACGACUGCUAAUACCGCAUAAGCCCACGGGUCGGCAUCGACCAGAGGGAAAAGGAGCAAUCCGCUUUGAGAUGGCCUCGCGUCCGAUUAGCUGGUUGGUGAGGUAAUGGCCCACCAAGGCGACGAUCGGUAGCCGGACUGAGAGGUUGAACGGCCACAUUGGGACUGAGACACGGCCCAGACUCCUACGGGAGGCAGCAGUGGGGAAUAUUGCACAAUGGGGGAAACCCUGAUGCAGCGACGCCGCGUGGAGGAAGAAGGUCUUCGGAUUGUAAACUCCUGUUGUUGAGGAAGAUAAUGACGGUACUCAACAAGGAAGUGACGGCUAACUACGUGCCAGCAGCCGCGGUAAAACGUAGGUCACAAGCGUUGUCCGGAAUUACUGGGUGUAAAGGGAGCGCAGGCGGGAAGACAAGUUGGAAGUGAAAUCUAUGGGCUCAACCCAUAAACUGCUUUCAAAACUGUUUUUCUUGAGUAGUGCAGAGGUAGGCGGAAUUCCCGGUGUAGCGGUGGAAUGCGUAGAUAUCGGGAGGAACACCAGUGGCGAAGGCGGCCUACUGGGCACCAACUGACGCUGAGGCUCGAAAGUGUGGGUAGCAAACAGAAUUAGAUACCCUGGUAGUCCACACCGUAAA